GACGAACGCUGGCGGCGUGCUUAACACAUGCAAGUCGAACGGGAGUAUUGAAGAAGCUUGCUUUAGAGAUACUUUAGUGGCGGACGGGUGAGUAACGCGUGAGGAGCUGUCCUAUGCAGGGGGACAACAGCUGGAAACGGCUGCUAAUACCCCAUAAGCCGAGAGGUAAAAGGAUCAAUCCGGCAGAGGAGGUACUCGCGUCCUAUCAGCUAGUAGGUGAGGUAACGGCUCACCUAGGCGAAGACGGGUAGCCGGCCUGAGAGGGCGAACGGCCACACUGGAACUGAGAUACGGUCCAGACUCCUACGGGAGGCAGCAGUGGGGAAUAUUGGGCAAUGGGGGAAACCCUGACCCAGCGACGCCGCGUGGGUGAAGAAAUCCUUCGGGAUGUAAAGCCCUGUUGUAUGGGAAGAGCGGAAGACGGUACCAUACGGAGGAAGCCCCGGCAAACUACGG
RNAcentral lists this ribosomal RNA (456 nucleotides) under uncultured bacterium. RNAcentral's name for it is "bacterial SSU rRNA". It matches the Rfam family "Bacterial small subunit ribosomal RNA", at positions 28 to 506 of the family's 1533-position model. The record is from RNAcentral.